Molecule: long non-coding RNA, 1406 nt
Organism: Dreissena polymorpha
Lineage: Eukaryota; Metazoa; Mollusca; Bivalvia; Myida; Dreissenidae
Exons: 2
Source: RefSeq, a predicted model, not a curated record
CUCUGCAAUUACGUUUAAUGCUAUUUUAAAAAGUUUUUUAUGAUUAAAGAAUAAAGGUUUCAUGUUGAAUUUUAUAUUUAUUUAUAUGUUUUAUUAUUUCUUUCUGGUCGCGCCAGUUCCUUCACCUGAAACAAAUAUAACCACCAGGAUCUUGUGGAUGAACGUGUCCUGCUACACCCGAUGUGAACAUGUCGCGGUACUGUUUCACGGAUGCCGGACAUUUUACUGUCUUGUUUCGCACCGAGCAUCGCCAGAAUUGUCUCUCUCCGGACGUUACCUAAAAUGAUAAAACAAAUCAUGUGUAAUAUUUAUUUCAGUGAAUUCAACAUGCGUGUAACGAAUUAUCAUGCAAAAUCACAGAAUUUUAUAUUAUUAUAAACACGUUCAUGUGAGCUGCAUUUAUCAGACAUCUUAUGUAUUAUCAAUGUAUGUAAUUCAUUUUAAUGAAACGUAAAAUACAUACCCCCUUCGUGUAAGAAUAUCCAUCCGAACUGAUCAGUUUCGCCGCACCUCGCUUAGUCCCGGACUCCACAAUCUCAUACGUAAUUACGGCGUCGUCGGCGGGGAUUUCGUCGUUCAGCUCAAGGUCAUCAGGUAAAGACGUGUCUACCACUGGUGUUGGUCGUUCGUACUCUUGGGCUAGGUCGAAUGACACAUCUGGUAUGGUAGUGUUACCCCCAUGUCUUAGAUCUUCUUGUGCAAGAUUUCUGAGUGGCGAUACCGGGAUUUCAAGUGGUGGUGGUGGUUCGUCGACGUUCCUGCAACCAUUACAGAACCACUCUAUCUGUACCUCACCACUGCGCAGUUGCAUGUACUGCUGAUGGGUAAUUUCUAAAAAUAAAAAAUAAAUAAAGCAAAGUUAUAACAUAAUAUGAUUUUUAUAUUUACAACCAUUAUCUGUUAAUUUACGUUAAUUAAGGCAUUACUUAUGAUCAGUUUUAAAUCACGACAUUACAGGCGACAACACAAUUCACAAUUUUAAUGUAUCUAUAUUAUCACUAAGAAAUUACUAAGACUUACCGGUGUGUCUACGGUGACUCCAUCUUCCACAUGAAUCACAUGCAAUAGCGUGCGCACGAGAAGUGACCUCAAUAUUGCAGUAAAUACAUGGAUGUUCAGCCAUGAUUGUAUGAUACAGUAAAAGAAAUCAUCUGCCUAUAUACAUACUUUAACAUUUGAGCAACAACACUUACCAUAAUUACUCGAUAACCCGCGAAAAUUUUCUCUUCAUCCUCUCAUUGAUUUCUUAUUUGACAAUGACCAUGAUAAUUUUAUAAUUACCUAAUUACAUAAUAAUGUUAUUUUUACCACAAAUAAACAUCCUUUGAUGUCACCACCAGUAUUUUUUGGUAAACAUGAUUAAAGAAGGAAAACGUUUGUUUAUUUCACAGUUUGAAAGUUACUGG